CAGCAGCCGCGGGAAUACAGAGGGUGCGAGCGUUAAUCGGAUUUACUGGGCGUAAAGCGUGCGCAGGCGGCUUCUUAAGUCGGAUGUGAAAUCCCUGAGCUUAACUUAGGAAUUGCAUUCGAUACUGGGAAGCUAGAGUAUGGGAGAGGAUGGUAGAAUUCCAGGUGUAGCGGUGAAAUGCGUAGAGAUCUGGAGGAAUACCGAUGGCGAAGGCAGCCAUCUGGCCUAAUACUGACGCUGAGGUACGAAAGCAUGGGGAGCAAACAGGAUUAGAUACCCCGGUAGUCCCUGUCUCUUAUAC
This 301-nucleotide ribosomal RNA is filed under the name uncultured bacterium. RNAcentral describes it as "partial 16S ribosomal RNA". It matches the Rfam family "Bacterial small subunit ribosomal RNA", at positions 509 to 807 of the family's 1533-position model. The record is from RNAcentral.